GGACCGUUAGCUCAGUUGGUUAGAGCUCCUGCCUCUUAAGCAGGGUGUCCAGGUUCAAAUCCCUGCCGGUCUACCA
Molecule: transfer RNA, 76 nt
Filed under: Candidatus Cloacimonadota bacterium
Lineage: Bacteria; Pseudomonadati; Candidatus Cloacimonadota
Description: tRNA-Lys
Rfam family: tRNA
About the family: Transfer RNA (tRNA) molecules are approximately 80 nucleotides in length. Their secondary structure includes four short double-helical elements and three loops (D, anti-codon, and T loops). Further hydrogen bonds mediate the characteristic L-shaped molecular structure. tRNAs have two regions of fundamental functional importance: the anti-codon, which is responsible for specific mRNA codon recognition, and the 3' end, to which the tRNAs corresponding amino acid is attached (by aminoacyl-tRNA synthetases). tRNAs cope with the degeneracy of the genetic code in two manners: having more than one tRNA (with a specific anti-codon) for a particular amino acid; and 'wobble' base-pairing, i.e. permitting non-standard base-pairing at the 3rd anti-codon position.
Source: RNAcentral